This 298-nucleotide long non-coding RNA is filed under the name Pan troglodytes (chimpanzee). RNAcentral's name for it is "long non-coding RNA NONPTRT013100". The record is from RNAcentral. Lineage: Eukaryota; Metazoa; Chordata; Mammalia; Primates; Hominidae.
UUGCUAGAGUUAGACAGAAUCAGACAAUCAGACAGAAAUUUAAGGUAUGAAGAGACUGGGAAGUGGCUAUGGGUCAAAAUCUAGUUUCUACUUUUGAAACGUUUAUAUUAUGGUUUCUCAUUAUGUUUUGGCUUCUCAUUGUGCAUUGACUAAUUCUCACAAGAGGUUUUGAAAAUGAAGCUGGGUUUCAGGUUCGACUCACAUGAGCUACUUUCUCACUCCCCAUUCACCAGGUCCCCAGGCAAGUAUUGAUCUGCUUUCUAUAACUAGACUGCUUGCACAUUCCAGAAUUCCAUAU